UACAGAGGUCCCGAGCGUUGUUCGGAUUCACUGGGCGUAAAGGGUGCGUAGGUGGUUGUGCAAGUCUGAUGUGAAAUCUCCGGGCUCAACCCGGAAAUGGCAUUGGAAACUGCAUGGCUAGAGGAUUGGAGGGGGGACUGGAAUACCUGGUGUAGCAGUGAAAUGCGUAGAUAUCAAGUGGAACACCAGUGGCGAAGGCGGGUCUCUGGACAGUUCCUGACACUGAGACACGAAGGCCAGGGGAGCAAACGGG
RNAcentral lists this ribosomal RNA (253 nucleotides) under uncultured bacterium. RNAcentral describes it as "partial 16S ribosomal RNA". It matches the Rfam family "Bacterial small subunit ribosomal RNA", at positions 524 to 776 of the family's 1533-position model. The record is from RNAcentral.